Molecule: long non-coding RNA, 1900 nt
Organism: Cyprinus carpio carpio
Lineage: Eukaryota; Metazoa; Chordata; Actinopteri; Cypriniformes; Cyprinidae
Source: Ensembl
AAAAUGAUUUAUAAAGAUAAGUUUAAUAACAGUAGUAAAAUCAUCAACCAAUAGCAUUAUUAUUAUUAUUAUUUCUAAUAAUAAAUCAUUUGCUGCAUAAUCUUUUCAGGUAAGGUUUCUUUGAUACAACCAAGACAAAAGUAAAAGCUGAGAUUAAAACAAAGUCGCUUUGAUAAUCAUAUUUUUAUUUCCAAAAGAAAUUCAGAACCUUCAAAGCACUUUUUGUUUUAUUUUUUUAAAUAAUAUUAUUAACUAGAUAUAUGACUGUUAUUGUUUUGCGCUUUGAGCGUGAAUGUGGACUUAAUGUUCUCAGGUUUUGGAAAGAGAAAAGCAUAGGCGUGUUUACGAUACUGUAGAUUCCUUCUCGAAACGUUUGACGCGUGAAAAUUUACAGCGUUCAGGAAGGAAGUUUUCUUCUAGUAUAGCUCAUUAGAGUUCACCUACACAAACCGAUGUGCAUUUUAGCUCAGUAACAUCCGCAUGCAGGAGCUUAAUGCCCACGUUAUGGCGUGUGGGUGCAGAAAUUGAUAACGCGAUAGCAUCAAAUAUAAUCCUCGCUGCACUGUUGCAUUUUACUCAGUAAUUGAGAGGAAACGAUAUUACCUCGCGUAUAGCGAUGCUCUUAGAAUGAUGACCAAAGCCAUAUAUUAUUUUCUGUAUUAGAGGCCUAAUAUCAGUUGAGUUUGAGUGAGCAGCAAUGACUCUAGAUGGAAAUACACAGGAAACGUUACAUUGUGCUACAAGUGUCAACCACACAAAAUGAAAACACAAUCUUUUUUAGUGCAUAGGGGAAAAACCCUGGUGCUCAAUCAACCCGCUGUUUUAUUUUUCAUCUUAACCGUCUUCCAUCUUCCCCCUCUCUCCUAUUCAUCCAUCCCUCCACCAUUCCUCUCCUCCACCGCGCCAUUUAUCUUUCCCUCCCUCUGCCUCGCGCGCUACCCAGCCGAUAUCAAGGCGUGAUCCCGAGCCCUUCAAAGGUCAAGUGAUACAAGGUCAUUGGCGGGUCAGGCCUGCUGACUGGCUGACCUCCACAAGGACUUCUGCCGCCAGCCAAUCGCACGCCGGCGUCUCCCACAGCAGCCUGCCUCCAUCCCUGGCGGGCCCUCGGCGGCGCGUCACGUGAUCGUUAACGGACUGAAGCAUCAUGAUGGAAAUGAUUAAUGAUGCUUUUAGUACCUGUUUAGAAUGAAGCUGUCCACACUGCACUGUAAUUACCCACUCCCAGGCGGCAGCUGCCUAACAUAAUUGCUUUUUGUUUGUUGACCUGGUUUACCAGAGAGAAAGAUGGCUUUAGGUAGGUGAAGUGUGAGCGUUGGUGCAUGUUGGCGUUUUAUAGAGGGUGAAGAAGCGAGAAAGGUGCGCGAUCGUACGUGAUGUCAGAUUUAGCGCCGUCCUUAAAAGGCUCGGCUGACCCGUGUGAUUUUUUUCCCCGUUUCAGGCAGAAAGGAAUUUUGUUUUAUUUUUGAAAGUGCAUUGGAUAAUUCUUCAUUUUUAUGUGGCACUCUGGCCACUGAGAGGUAAACACGAGACGUGUAAAUCUGCAAUAAAAUUUCGGAAUCAACAGCUGUGAUUGUAAUAAGUAAUUCGAAAUAAACUGAGACGUUGGUGAAUGAAACACUCCUUCCUCUAAUUUCUGUCUAUAUGUCUUAAAAGCAACCCAUAUUUCAGUGGAAAGCACUUAAACUGUUUUACAGCUAUAAACAUUACUUGCAUUUGGUCACACAUGAAUCAAAUGAUGGUCUCCAAAGAGCUUCAAAGAAUGUCCGUUUUCUCAGUGACAGUAUUAAACAGGAAUCAGGAUGGGCUGAUUGAGGAUUGAGUUGAAGGGUUUCCCAACUUUAUUUCUGCUCCAGGAACCCCCACAGCCAUCAUUUAUGCUCAAGUACCCCUUCAAUGACAC